UAAACAUUGCUUCCUCUUCUAUCUCAUCUUAUUCCGGAACCUGUGUGACCAGUGUUUUGUCCCAAAUAAUACCCCAUUGCUCAACUAGGAAGUAGCCACAGCCUCUACUGGCUCCUGGAUUCUCUCCAGAGACCAACCCACCAUCCUUGACUCAUCGACAAAGCCCAGUGAAAACACUUUGGCCAUUUGCGAGGAGUGAUAAACAGAGAUCACAUGCCGGUUGCCACGCUCAUUUGCCGUUAUCACAUGGAGUGGAGGCUGAA
Molecule: long non-coding RNA, 263 nt
Filed under: Meriones unguiculatus (Mongolian gerbil)
Lineage: Eukaryota; Metazoa; Chordata; Mammalia; Rodentia; Muridae
Description: lncRNA (ENSMUGG00000025092.1)
Source: RNAcentral